Molecule: ribosomal RNA, 465 nt
Filed under: uncultured bacterium
Lineage: Bacteria
Description: partial 16S ribosomal RNA
Rfam family: Bacterial small subunit ribosomal RNA
Source: RNAcentral
CCUACGGGAGGCAGCAGUGGGGAAUUUUGGACAAUGGGCGCAAGCCUGAUCCAGCUAUUCCGCGUGUGGGAUGACGGCCCUCCGGUUGGUAACCCCUUUAGUCGAGAGCGAAAAGAACGUCACGAGUGAAUCGCUCUGCUGACCGUACGAUAAGGAUAAGCACAGGCCAACUACGUGCGAGCAGCCGCGGCAAUACGUAGGGUGCGUGCGUUAAUCGGUAUUACUGGGCGUAAAGGGUGUGCAGGCGGCAGAGUAAGCCAGAUGUGAAAACCCCGGGCUUAAGCUGGGACGCGCAGAUGGGACUGCUGGGCUAGAGUGCGUGAGAGGGAGGUGGAAUUCGACGUGUAGCAGUGAAAUGCGUAGAUAUGAGGAAGAACACCGAUGGCGAAGGCAGCCUACUGGGGCGCAACUGACGCUCAUGCACGAAAGCGUGGGGAGCAAACAGGAUUAGAUACCCGAGUAGUC